AAAAAAUGGGUGGGCUAUAGCCUUGGUGGGGGGGGUGGGCGAAGUUCGUCCGCCGGAGUCGGAAUGGCCCCAGACUUUGCGGGCGGCCUCCGUGUGCCAAAAAUAGGCCACGGGCACAGCCGCGCCCACAAAUCAGCCCCCGAAGGUCGGGGUGCCAACACCCCCCAGCGGAAAAAUGGCCAAAAAAUGGGUGGGCUAUAGCCUUGGUGGGGGGCGCGGGCGAAGUUCGUCCGCCGGACUCGGAAUGGCCCCAGACUUUGCGGGCGGCCUCCGUGUGCCAAAAAUAGGCCACGGGCACAGCCGCGCCCAAAAAUCAGCCCCCGAAGGUCGGGGUGCCAAGACCCCCCAGCGGAAAAAUGGCCAAAAAACGGGUGGGCUAUAGCCUUGGUGGGGGGCGUGGGCGAAGUUCGUCAGCCGGACUUGGAAUGGCCCCAGACUUUGCGUGCGGCCUUCGUGUGCCAAAAAUAGGCCACGGGCACAGCCGCGCCCAAAAAUCAGCCCCCGAAGGUCGGGGUCCCAAGACCCCCCAGCGGAAAAAUGGCCAAAAAACGGGUGGGCUAUAGCCUUGGUGGGGGGCGUGGGCGAAGUUCGUCCGCCGGACUCGGAAUGGCCCCAGACUUGGCUGGCGGCCUCCGUGUGCCAAAAAUAGGCCACGGGCACAGCCGCUCCCAAAAAUCAGCCCCCGAAGGUCGGGGUCCCAAGACCCCCCAGCGGAAAAAUGGCCAAAAAACGGGUGGGCUAUAGCCUUGGUGGGGGGCGUGGGCGAAGUUCGUCCGCCGGGCUCGGAAUGGCCCCAGACUUGGCGGGCGGCCUCCGUGUGCCAAAAAUAGGCCACGGACCUAGCCGCGCCCAAAAAUCACCCCCCAAGGUCGGGGUCCCAAGACCCCCCAGCGGAAAAAUGGCGAAAAAACGGGUGGGCUAUAGCCUUGGUG
This 932-nucleotide long non-coding RNA is filed under the name Citrus x clementina. RNAcentral's name for it is "Citrus clementina (C. clementina) long non-coding RNA (CCLE_LNC001237)". The record is from RNAcentral. Lineage: Eukaryota; Viridiplantae; Streptophyta; Magnoliopsida; Sapindales; Rutaceae.